AUGAUAGACCAAUUUGGCAGCAUAUAUACUAAAUCUGGAACAAAACAGAGAAGAUAGGCCCCUGCGCAAGGAUGAUGAGAAAAUUCACAAAACCUUCCAUAUAUAU
Protopterus annectens (West African lungfish) is the source of this 106-nucleotide small nuclear RNA. Lineage: Eukaryota; Metazoa; Chordata; Ceratodontiformes; Protopteridae. The record is from RefSeq and is a predicted model, not a curated record.